RNAcentral lists this microRNA (20 nucleotides) under Bos taurus (domestic cattle). Its description in RNAcentral is "bta-miR-2900". Lineage: Eukaryota; Metazoa; Chordata; Mammalia; Artiodactyla; Bovidae. The record is from miRBase by way of RNAcentral.
AGGGCGGGCGGCGACUGGAA